UGAUUAUAUGGUCAAAGAUACAACAAACGAAAAGACGUGAUGAUCGUCUUCUUCUGAUCAAGUUUCCCGAUUGCUCCUUUUCUUUUAACUUGCUUCUUUCGCAUUAUUGUCUCUUUUUUUUUAACACAGCAUUAUUGUCUACUGCUUUUGGGCGAUCUUCAUUUUAAUACAUAUGGGUAUUGUCUUUUCAUUAAAUACUUUCUCUUUAUCAGAAACUAUACGACG
This 225-nucleotide long non-coding RNA is filed under the name Brassica rapa (field mustard). Its description in RNAcentral is "long non-coding RNA (BRAP_LNC003089)". The record is from RNAcentral. Lineage: Eukaryota; Viridiplantae; Streptophyta; Magnoliopsida; Brassicales; Brassicaceae.